GUGCAGCAGGCGAGAAACCUCCGCAAUACACGAAAGUGUGACGGGCCAUCCCGAGUGCCGUCCGCUGAGGACGGCUUUUCCCCAGUGUACACAGCUGGGGGAAUAAGGAGAGGGCAAGCCUGGUGUCAGCCGCCGCGGUAAUACCAGCUCUCCGAGUGGUGGGGACGCUUAUUGGGCCUAAAGCAUCCGUAGCCGGCUGGGCAAGUCCUCCGUUAAAUCCAACGAUUCAAUCGUUGGGCUGCGGGGGAUACUGUCCAGCUUGGGGGCGGGAGAGGCCGACGGUAUUCCCCGGGGUAGGGGUGAAAUCCUAUAAUCCCGGGAGGACCACCAGUGGCGAAGGCUGUCGGCUAGAACGCGCCCGACGGUGAGGGAUGAAAGCUGGGGGAGCGAACCGGAUUAGAUACCCGCGUAGU
RNAcentral lists this ribosomal RNA (413 nucleotides) under uncultured microorganism. Its description in RNAcentral is "bacterial SSU rRNA". It matches the Rfam family "Archaeal small subunit ribosomal RNA", at positions 330 to 745 of the family's 1478-position model. The record is from RNAcentral.